RNAcentral lists this long non-coding RNA (292 nucleotides) under Vulpes vulpes (red fox). RNAcentral describes it as "lncRNA (ENSVVUG00000027142.1)". The record is from RNAcentral. Lineage: Eukaryota; Metazoa; Chordata; Mammalia; Carnivora; Canidae.
CCGUCAUGGAGUCUACAAGGAAGAGCAAUGAUGGCGGACUCCUAUGAGGCUAGGAUAAAAAAGCAGUCAUGGAUGCUCUGAAGUACAGAUAUUGGCGAGAGAGUUUGUAUAUAAACCUGCAUGGUGGUGGAGUCCACGUGGAAAGCUGGUAUCUCACCCACCACAACUUAGAAGCCGAAGCCAACACACCGUCACGUACCAACCCUUUCAUCAUCAUCAUCAACGAAGCAAUUGCAACUUUGGGAGGACUUUGAAAAAAAUGUUAGCUGAAUAAAGAAAACACAUAUGUCCA